UCGCAAGGAAUUGAAUCUGUUGUUGCUGCAUCAAGUUCCCCUUGGUACACUGUAUGUGGUUGUGUCCUUCCUCUACAAGUAUGGGCAGUAGAGAUAUUACCGGCCCUACAAGA
This is a long non-coding RNA of Magnolia sinica, 113 nucleotides long. RefSeq lists it as uncharacterized. Lineage: Eukaryota; Viridiplantae; Streptophyta; Magnoliopsida; Magnoliales; Magnoliaceae. The record is from RefSeq and is a predicted model, not a curated record. The transcript has 2 exons.